This 292-nucleotide ribosomal RNA is filed under the name uncultured Acidovorax sp. Its description in RNAcentral is "partial 16S ribosomal RNA". It matches the Rfam family "Bacterial small subunit ribosomal RNA", at positions 505 to 796 of the family's 1533-position model. Lineage: Bacteria; Pseudomonadati; Pseudomonadota; Betaproteobacteria; Burkholderiales; Comamonadaceae. The record is from RNAcentral.
GUGUCAGCCGCCGCGGUAAUACGUAGGGUGCAAGCGUUAAUCGGAAUUACUGGGCGUAAAGCGUGCGCAGGCGGUUAUAUAAGACAGAUGUGAAAUCCCCGGGCUCAACCUGGGAACUGCAUUUGUGACUGUAUAGCUAGAGUACGGCAGAGGGGGAUGGAAUCCCGCGUGUAGCAGUGAAAUGCGUAGAUAUGCGGAGGAACACCGAUGGCGAAGGCAAUCCCCUGGGCCUGUACUGACGCUCAUGCACGAAAGCGUGGGGAGCAAACAGGAUUAGAAACCCUAGUAGUCC